Molecule: long non-coding RNA, 1274 nt
Organism: Labrus mixtus (cuckoo wrasse)
Lineage: Eukaryota; Metazoa; Chordata; Actinopteri; Labriformes; Labridae
Exons: 3
Source: RefSeq, a predicted model, not a curated record
GUGUGUGAAGUGGGUGUGCGCCACGAGUCGAUCGUGGAUCUUUCAUGCCACUGCAGCAGGAUACAGACUUCCGGAAGUGUGUGUCGUAUUAGCCAAUGAGAUGCCUUGAACAUCAAGUGUCAUAGUCUCGCAGGAUUUUACAGGAUUUUGAUAGUGAGCUGAAGCACAACACGGAGCAAUGCCCAGUACCGACUGAAGAACUUUGCAUGUUAAUAAGGUAAGUUUACUUCAAGUUUUGUUUUUUUUAACUAAUAUUCUUUUGACUGUAGGAGUUUUGUGCAACUUUUUACAUUCUUUAAAAAAAAUAUAUAAAAAGUACCAUUCGAUAUAGAUUGCUAAUUUUAGCUGUAGAUCACUGACUGCUAAUCGCUAGCUUCAGGUUUCUAGUUUUUAUUUUAUUUUCAUAUAAACUUCAUUAACAUUUUACAAUUUAUUACAUAAAACAGAAGAAUAUGGGAGUACAGCAAGCACUGUUCCCUGAGAUACAACUAUGUGAGACUGUUUGCUUGCUUCUGUUAGCUAAAGCUAGUUAGCUGCUAACCAAUAGCUUUGGAGACUGCCUAUGCUUUCACUUGCAUACAGCCUUCCAGUUUAGUUUAUGACAAUGCAAUGCACACUACUUUGAAAUUUGGUCAUAAUUCAAUAUAAUUGGUGUUUUGAUAUAAUUAGGGGUAAAUAUGGUCCAUUUGGUACAUGGAUUAAAACAUGAAUGAUAGUCGGAUGGAUAUUGUCACCUUGGGCAUACAUUACAUUGUCAUCAUUUCAUAUUGAACUCCUUGAUGGGAUAGACUUUCAGUUAUUUUGACUGCUAUUACAUUUAAAAACGUAUCAAUAAGAUGGAUCUACUUUCUGUGUAUGACUACUCUUCCCCAUGCUCUGAGCCGGGGUGUGUUUCAUGCGCCCAGCCGAGCACAUGGCUAAUUAAGCCUGUGAAUAUUCAUGAGAUACCAGAGUGACAACAACACGGUGGUGGAUUGUAAUACCUACAGUGCGGAGUUUCAACGUGGUGUCUAACGUUAACAGACGUUUGAGCCAGGAUGUCCAAAAGGAAGUCCAGGAUAAAGCCUGUCUAAGAUGCAAUGUCGUACAUUCUGUCUUCGAGAGACAAGCCAUGGUUUGCAGAAAGAUUUAUCAACAAUAUCAAAGGCUGUAAGCAAGAAGGCUUCUGCUGUGGCAGUAGAAGCAAACACCUUCCCUACAGUGCUGACUUCCCAUGAGGAUUCAAAGGGAGAUUAUGCUGGGGCACAGGUAAUGAAGUAAUGUGGAUAAUGCUG